Molecule: ribosomal RNA, 254 nt
Filed under: uncultured bacterium
Lineage: Bacteria
Description: partial 16S ribosomal RNA
Rfam family: Bacterial small subunit ribosomal RNA
Source: RNAcentral
UACGUAGGGCGCGAGCGUUGUCCGGAUUCAUUGGGCGUAAAGAGCUCGUAGGCGGCUUGGUAAGUCGGAUGUGAAACCUCCAGGCUCAACCUGGAGUCGCCAUCCGAUACUGCCAUGGCUAGAGUCCGGUAGGGGCCCACGGAAUUCCUGGUGUAGCGGUGAAAUGCGCAGAUAUCAGGAGGAACACCGGUGGCGAAGGCGGGUCUCUGGGCCGAUACUGACGCUGAGGAGCGAAAGCGUGGGGAGCAAACAGG